RNAcentral lists this ribosomal RNA (253 nucleotides) under uncultured bacterium. RNAcentral's name for it is "partial 16S ribosomal RNA". It matches the Rfam family "Bacterial small subunit ribosomal RNA", at positions 524 to 776 of the family's 1533-position model. The record is from RNAcentral.
UACAGAGGUCUCGAGCGUUAGGCGGAAUCACUGGGCUUAAAGCGUGUGUAGGUGGAUCGUUAAGUACCUUGUGAAAUCCCACGGCUUAACCGUGGAACUGCUUGGUAUACUGGCGGUCUUGAGCCACUUAGGGGCUACCGGAACAAAUGGUGGAGCGGUGAAAUGCGCAGAUAUCAGGAGGAACACCGGUGGCGAAGGCGGGUCUCUGGGCAGUAACUGACGCUGAGGAGCGAAAGCGUGGGGAGCGAACAGG